AUGGAAGAAGAAAUUGAUGAAACUAUGAUCUCAUUGGAUGAAAAAGAUGACGAGGAGAGCGAAGAACCAAAGGAGGAAGAGCAGAUUGAUCACCCGUGCCCACCUUCUAAUGAGAGUAACUCUUCAACUCAUAUAUUGUUUAAUUCCCCUUCGUACUUACCGAAGGAUGAUUACUAUGAUCCUGUUGAUUGUCUUGAAAUAUCCCUUUUUGAUGAUGCUUGCUAUGCUUGUGGCCAAGAUGCCAAUAUGAAUUAUGCUUAUGGAGAUGAACUUGCUAUAGUUCCUUAUGUUAAACAUGAAAUUGUUGCUAUUGCACCCACGCAUGAUAUUCCUAUUAUCUUUUUGAAUUCUCCCAACCACACAAUAUCGGAGAAGUUUGUGCUUAUUAAGGAUCAUAUUGAUGGGUUGCCUUUUACUACUACACAUGAUGAUUUUGAAAGAUAUAAUAUGCAUGUGCUUGCUGCUCCUACUUGCAAUUAUUAUGAGAGAUGA
RNAcentral lists this ribosomal RNA (492 nucleotides) under Triticum aestivum (bread wheat). RNAcentral's name for it is "partial small subunit ribosomal RNA". The record is from RNAcentral. Lineage: Eukaryota; Viridiplantae; Streptophyta; Magnoliopsida; Poales; Poaceae.